This 407-nucleotide ribosomal RNA is filed under the name uncultured bacterium. Its description in RNAcentral is "partial 16S ribosomal RNA". It matches the Rfam family "Bacterial small subunit ribosomal RNA", at positions 30 to 526 of the family's 1533-position model. The record is from RNAcentral.
AUUGAACGCUGGCGGCGUGCCUAAUACAUGAAAGUAGAACGCAGUUGCGAACGGGUGAGUAACGCGUAGGUAACUGCCUGGUAGCGGGGGAUAACUAUUGGAAACGCUAGCUAAUACAGCAUACUACCAGCUGGACCUGCGUUGUAUUAGCUAGUUGGUGGGGUAACGGCUCACCAAGGCAACGAUACAUAGCCGACCUGAGGGGGGUAUCGGGCACUCUGGGACGGAGACACGACCCAGACACCGACGUGAGGCAGUAGUAUGGAGUCUUCGGCCAUGGACAGAAGUCGGACCGAGUAACGCCGCUUGAUUGAAGAAGUGUUUCGUAUCGUAAAGCUCUGUUGUAAGAGAAGCGGUAUCUUACCAGAAUGGGACGUCUAACUACGUGCCAGCAGCCGCGGUAAUAC